UCCCCUCUCAAGCCUGGCUUGUUGUUGGACUCCAGGUCCGGGUUCACCCCCGACCGGUCCCAAAAGUAAUGACGGCGUCCGUGGGACUCUCGGUGCAACGAGCUUUUCUAAGCACGCAACGAGUUGAAAGGUCCCCCGGCACGGUCCAUAACCCAAUUUUUACAA
RNAcentral lists this unclassified non-coding RNA (165 nucleotides) under uncultured Exophiala. RNAcentral describes it as "sequence contains ITS2". Lineage: Eukaryota; Fungi; Ascomycota; Eurotiomycetes; Chaetothyriales; Herpotrichiellaceae. The record is from RNAcentral.